RNAcentral lists this ribosomal RNA (246 nucleotides) under uncultured bacterium. RNAcentral's name for it is "partial 16S ribosomal RNA". It matches the Rfam family "Bacterial small subunit ribosomal RNA", at positions 527 to 772 of the family's 1533-position model. The record is from RNAcentral.
GGAGGGUGCGAGCGUUAAUCGGAAUUACUGGGCGUAAAGCGCACGUAGGCUGUAUGUCAAGUCAAGGGUGAAAUCCCACGGCUCAACCGUGGAACUGCCUUUGAAACUGGCAAACUGGAGUAUGUGAGAGGGCGGCGGAAUUCCUGGUGUAGGAGUGAAAUCCGUAGAUAUCAGGAGGAACAUCAGUGGCGAAGGCGGCCGCCUGGCACAAAACUGACGCUGAGGUGCGAAAGUGUGGGUAGCAAA